Molecule: ribosomal RNA, 496 nt
Filed under: uncultured bacterium
Lineage: Bacteria
Description: partial 16S ribosomal RNA
Rfam family: Bacterial small subunit ribosomal RNA
Source: RNAcentral
GAUGAACGCUGGCGGCGUGCCUAAUACAUGCAAGUCGAGCGAACGGACGAGAAGCUUGCUUCUCUGAUGUUAGCGGCGGACGGGUGAGUAACACGUGGAUAACCUACCUAUAAGACUGGGAUAACUUCGGGAAACCGGAGCUAAUACCGGAUAAUAUUUUGAACCGCAUGGUUCAAAAGUGAAAGACGGUCUUGCUGUCACUUAUAGAUGGAUCCGCGCUGCAUUAGCUAGUUGGUAAGGUAACGGCUUACCAAGGCAACGAUGCAUAGCCGACCUGAAAGGGUGAUCGGCCACACUGGAACAGAGACACGGUCCAGACUCCAACGGGAGGCAGCAGUAGGGAAUCUUCCGCAAUGGGCGAAAGCCUGACGGAGCAACGCCGCGUAAGUGAUGAGGGUCUUCGGAUCGUAAAACUCUGUUAUUAGGGAAGAACAUAUGUGUAAGUAACUGUGCACAUCUUAACGGUACCUAAUCAGAAGCCACGGCUAACUACGUG